RNAcentral lists this ribosomal RNA (347 nucleotides) under uncultured bacterium. RNAcentral describes it as "bacterial SSU rRNA". It matches the Rfam family "Bacterial small subunit ribosomal RNA", at positions 9 to 353 of the family's 1533-position model. The record is from RNAcentral.
GAGUUUGAUCAUGGCUCUAGAUUGAACGCUGGCGGCAUGCUUUACACAUGCAAGUCGAACGGCAGCACAGGGAGCUUGCUCCCGGGUGGCGAGUGGCGCACGGGUGAGUAAUACAUCGGAACGUGUCCUGUUNUGGGGGGAUAGCUGCUCAAAGGGUGGCUAAUACCGCAUGAGACCUGAGGGUGAAAGCGGGGGAUCGCAAGACCUCGCGCAAUUGGAGCGGCCGAUGCCCGAUUAGCUAGUUGGUGAGGUAAAGGCUCACCAAGGCGACGAUCGGUAGCUGGUCUGAGAGGACGACCAGCCACACUGGGACUGAGACACGGCCCAGACUCCUACGGGAGGCAGCA